RNAcentral lists this ribosomal RNA (908 nucleotides) under Aplosporella sterculiae. RNAcentral's name for it is "eukaryotic LSU rRNA". It matches the Rfam family "Eukaryotic large subunit ribosomal RNA", at positions 36 to 962 of the family's 3401-position model. Lineage: Eukaryota; Fungi; Ascomycota; Dothideomycetes; Botryosphaeriales; Aplosporellaceae. The record is from RNAcentral.
UAGCAUAUCAAUAAGCGGAGGAAAAGAAACCAACAGGGAUUGCCUUAGCCACGGCGAGUGAAGCGGCAACAGCUCAAAUUUGAAAGCUGGCCCUUUUAGGGUCCGCGUUGUAAUUUGUAGAGGAUGAUUCGGCGAGGGCUCCUGCCUAAGUCCCCUGGAACGGGGCGUCAUAGAGGGUGAGAAUCCCGUAUGCGGUAGGUUGCCUUAGCCAUGUGAAUCUCCUUCGACGAGUCGAGUUGUUUGGGAAUGCAGCUCUAAAUGGGAGGUAAAUUUCUUCUAAAGCUAAAUACUGGCCAGAGACCGAUAGCGCACAAGUAGAGUGAUCGAAAGAUGAAAAGCACUUUGGAAAGAGAGUUAAAAAGUACGUGAAAUUGUUGAAAGGGAAGCGCUUGCAACCAGACUUGUCCGCAGUUGCUCAGCCGGUCUCCUGACCGGCGUACUCUUCUGCGGCCAGGCCAGCAUCAGUUCGGGCGGUCGGAUAAAGGCCUCGGGAAUGUAGCUCCUCUCGGGGAGUGUUAUAGCCCGGGGUGGAAUGCGACCAGCCUGGACUGAGGAUCUCGCUUCGGCAAGGAUGCUGGCGUAAUGGUUGUAAGCGGCCCGUCUUGAAACACGGACCAAGGAGUCUAACAUCUAUGCGAGUGUUCGGGUGUCAAACCCGUACGCGUAAUGAAAGUGAACGGAGGUGGGAACCCGCAAGGGUGCACCAUCGGCCGAUCCUGAUGUCUUCGGAUGGAUUUGAGCAAGAGCAUAGCUGUUGGGACCCGAAAGAUGGUGAACUAUGCCUGAAUAGGGUGAAGCCAGAGGAAACUCUGGUGGAGGCUCGCAGCGGUUCUGACGUGCAAAUCGAUCGUCAAAUUUGGGUAUAGGGGCGAAAGACUAAUCGAACCAUCUAGUAGCUGGUUCCUGCC